GGAAUAUAAGAACCUGUCUCUUAACUUUUAACUAAAAAAAUUACGAACCGACUCUUAAAUAAGAGUUUUAAGAGACAGUUUUUAGUUUUUUUAGUUAAAAGUUAAGAGACAAGUUCUUAUAUUCC
Brassica oleracea var. oleracea is the source of this 125-nucleotide microRNA precursor. It matches the Rfam family "MIR9563 microRNA precursor family". The record is from Rfam. Lineage: Eukaryota; Viridiplantae; Streptophyta; Magnoliopsida; Brassicales; Brassicaceae.